CUAACAGACACACACAAACUAACACACACACAGUAACACACUCACUGACACACACACAGUAACACUCACUGACACACACAAACUAACACACUCCUUAACAGACACACACACAGUAACACACUCACUAACACUUACUAGCAGACACACUAACAGACACACACAAACUAACACACACAGUAACACAGUCAGUGACACACACAC
This is a non-coding RNA of Pelobates cultripes (western spadefoot toad), 201 nucleotides long. Lineage: Eukaryota; Metazoa; Chordata; Amphibia; Anura; Pelobatidae. The record is from the annotation of a GenBank genome assembly.